AGAGUUUGAUCAUGGCUCAGAACGAACGCUGGCGGCGUGCUUAACACAUGCAAGUCGAACGUGAUUCAGAGCUUGCUCUGAUGAAAGUGGCGCACGGGUGAGUAACGCGUGGAUAACCUGCCCUGGUAUCUGGGAUAACAUCUCGAAAGGGGUGCUAAUACCGGAUAAGCCUCCGGGAUCUUCGGAUUCUGCAGGAAAAGAAGGCCUCUAUUUAUAAGCUUUCGUAUCAGGAUGGGUCCGCGUACCAUUAGCUAGUUGGUGGGGUAAUGGCCUACCAAGGCGACGAUGGUUAGCUGGUCUGAGAGGAUGAUCAGCCACACUGGAACUGAGACACGGUCCAGACUCCUACGGGAGGCAGCAGUGGGGAAUUUUGCGCAAUGGGGGAAACCCUGACGCAGCAACGCCGCGUGAGUGAUGAAGGCUUUCGGGUCGUAAAGCUCUGUCAGAGGGGAAGAAAUGGAACUGGCUAAUAUCCAGUUUUCUUGACGGUACCCUCAAAGGAAGCACCGGCUAACUCCGUGCCAGCCGCCGCGGUAAUAC
RNAcentral lists this ribosomal RNA (540 nucleotides) under uncultured bacterium. Its description in RNAcentral is "bacterial SSU rRNA". It matches the Rfam family "Bacterial small subunit ribosomal RNA", at positions 8 to 526 of the family's 1533-position model. The record is from RNAcentral.